This 453-nucleotide ribosomal RNA is filed under the name uncultured bacterium. RNAcentral's name for it is "bacterial SSU rRNA". It matches the Rfam family "Bacterial small subunit ribosomal RNA", at positions 29 to 524 of the family's 1533-position model. The record is from RNAcentral.
AGCGAACGCUGGCGGCAGGCCUAACACAUGCAAGUCGAACGGACCCUUCGGGGUUAGUGGCGGACGGGUGAGUAACACGUGGGAACGUGCCUUUAGGUUCGGAAUAGCUCCUGGAAAACGGGUGGUAAUGCCGAAUGUGCCCUUCGGGGGAAAGAUUUAUCGCCUUUAGAGCGGCCCGCGUCUGAUUAGCUAGUUGGUGAGGUAAUGGCUCACCAAGGCGACGAUCAGUAGCUGGUCUGAGAGGAUGACCAGCCACACUGGGACUGAGACACGGCCCAGACUCCUACGGGAGGCAGCAGUGGGGAAUCUUGCGCAAUGGGCGAAAGCCUGACGCAGCCAUGCCGCGUGAAUGAUGAAGGUCUUAGGAUUGUAAAAAUUCUUUCACCGGGGACGAUAAUGACGGUAACCCGGAGAAGAAGCCCCGGCUAACUUCGUGCCAGCAGCCGCGGUAAG